UGAGGAAUAUUGGUCAAUGGGCGAGAGCCUGAACCAGCCAAGUAGCGUGCAGGAAGACGGCCCUAUGGGUCGUAAACUGCUUUUAUACGGGGAUAAAGUGGGCCACGUGUGGCUUAUUGCAGGUACCGUAUGAAUAAGGACCGGCUAAUUCCGUGCCAGCAGCCGCGGUAAUACGGAAGGUCCGGGCGUUAUCCGGAUUUAUUGGGUUUAAAGGGAGCGUAGGCCGUCUGUUAAGCGUGUUGUGAAAUGUCGGGGCUCAACCUGGGCACUGCAGCGCGAACUGGAUGACUUGAGUUCGCGGGAGGUAGGCGGAAUUCGUGGUGUAGCGGUGAAAUGCUUAGAUAUCACGAAGAACUCCGAUUGCGAAGGCAGCUUACCGUAGCGUUACUGACGCUGAAGCUCGAAAGUGCGGGUAUCGAACAGGAUUAGAUACCCUGGUAGU
Molecule: ribosomal RNA, 442 nt
Filed under: uncultured Prevotella sp.
Lineage: Bacteria; Pseudomonadati; Bacteroidota; Bacteroidia; Bacteroidales; Prevotellaceae
Description: bacterial SSU rRNA
Rfam family: Bacterial small subunit ribosomal RNA
Source: RNAcentral